AGUGAACGCUGGCGGUAGGCCUAACACAUGCAAGUCGAACGGCAGCACAGUAAGAGCUUGCUCUUACGGGUGGCGAGUGGCGGACGGGUGAGGAAUACAUCGGAAUCUACUUUUUCGUGGGGGAUAACGUAGGGAAACUUACGCUAAUACCGCAUACGCCCUACGGGUGAAAGCAGGGGAUCUUCGGACCUUGCGCGAUUGUAUGAGCCGAUGUCGGAUUAGCUAGUUGGCGGGGUAAAGGCCCACCAAGGCGACGAUCCGUAGCUGGUCUGAGAGGAUGAUCAGCCACACUGGAACUGAGACACGGUCCAGACUCCUACGGGAGGCAGCAGUGGGGAAUAUUGGACAAUGGGCGCAAGCCUGAUCCAGCCAUACCGCGUGGGUGAAGAAGGCCUUCGGGUUGUAAAGCCCUUUUGUUGGGAAAGAAAAGCAGCAGGUUAAUACCCCGCUGUUCUGACGGUACCCAAAGAAUAAGCACCGGCUAACUUCGUG
Molecule: ribosomal RNA, 492 nt
Filed under: uncultured bacterium
Lineage: Bacteria
Description: partial 16S ribosomal RNA
Rfam family: Bacterial small subunit ribosomal RNA
Source: RNAcentral